GGUUAAGCGACUAAGCGUACACGGUGGAUGCCCUGGCAGUCAGAGGCGAUGAAGGACGUGCUAAUCUGCGAUAAGCGUCGGUAAGGUGAUAUGAACCGUUAUAACCGGCGAUUUCCGAAUGGGGAAACCCAGUGUGAUUCGUCACACUAUCAUUAACUGAAUCCAUAGGUUAAUGAGGCGAACCGGGGGAACUGAAACAUCUAAGUACCCCGAGGAAAAGAAAUCAACCGAGAUUCCCCCAGUAGCGGCGAGCGAACGGGGAGGAGCCCAGAGCCUGAAUCAGUGUGUGUGUUAGUGGAAGCGUCUGGAAAGGCGCGCGAUACAGGGUGACAGCCCCGUACACAAAAAUGCACAUGCUGUGAGCUCGAUGAGUAGGGCGGGACACGUGGUAUCCUGUCUGAAUAUGGGGGGACCAUCCUCCAAGGCUAAAUACUCCUGACUGACCGAUAGUGAACCAGUACCGUGAGGGAAAGGCGAAAAGAACCCCGGCGAGGGGAGUGAAAAAGAACCUGAAACCGUGUACGUACAAGCAGUGGGAGCCUCUUAAUGGGGUGACUGCGUACCUUUUGUAUAAUGGGUCAGCGACUUAUAUUCUGUAGCAAGGUUAACCGAAUAGGGGAGCCGAAGGGAAACCGAGUCUUAACUGGGCGUUAAGUUGCAGGGUAUAGACCCGAAACCCGGUGAUCUAGCCAUGGGCAGGUUGAAGGUUGGGUAACACUAACUGGAGGACCGAACCGACUAAUGUUGAAAAAUUAGCGGAUGACUUGUGGCUGGGGGUGAAAGGCCAAUCAAACCGGGAGAUAGCUGGUUCUCCCCGAAAGCUAUUUAGGUAGCGCCUCGUGAAUUCAUCUCCGGGGGUAGAGCACUGUUUCGGCAAGGGGGUCAUCCCGACUUACCAACCCGAUGCAAACUGCGAAUACCGGAGAAUGUUAUCACGGGAGACACACGGCGGGUGCUAACGUCCGUCGUGAAGAGGGAAACAACCCAGACCGCCAGCUAAGGUCCCAAAGUCAUGGUUAAGUGGGAAACGAUGUGGGAAGGCCCAGACAGCCAGGAUGUUGGCUUAGAAGCAGCCAUCAUUUAAAGAAAGCGUAAUAGCUCACUGGUCGAGUCGGCCUGCGCGGAAGAUGUAACGGGGCUAAACCAUGCACCGAAGCUGCGGCAGCGACACUAUGUGUUGUUGGGUAGGGGAGCGUUCUGUAAGCCUGUGAAGGUGGCCUGUGAGGGUUGCUGGAGGUAUCAGAAGUGCGAAUGCUGACAUAAGUAACGAUAAAGCGGGUGAAAAGCCCGCUCGCCGGAAGACCAAGGGUUCCUGUCCAACGUUAAUCGGGGCAGGGUGAGUCGACCCCUAAGGCGAGGCCGAAAGGCGUAGUCGAUGGGAAACAGGUUAAUAUUCCUGUACUUGGUGUUACUGCGAAGGGGGGACGGAGAAGGCUAUGUUGGCCGGGCGACGGUUGUCCCGGUUUAAGCGUGUAGGCUGGUUUUCCAGGCAAAUCCGGAAAACCAAGGCUGAGGCGUGAUGACGAGGCACUACGGUGCUGAAGUGACAAAUGCCCUGCUUCCAGGAAAAGCCUCUAAGCAUCAGGUAACAUCAAAUCGUACCCCAAACCGACACAGGUGGUCAGGUAGAGAAUACCAAGGCGCUUGAGAGAACUCGGGUGAAGGAACUAGGCAAAAUGGUGCCGUAACUUCGGGAGAAGGCACGCUGAUAUGUAGGUGAAGCGACUUGCUCGUGGAGCUGAAAUCAGUCGAAGAUACCAGCUGGCUGCAACUGUUUAUUAAAAACACAGCACUGUGCAAACACGAAAGUGGACGUAUACGGUGUGACGCCUGCCCGGUGCCGGAAGGUUAAUUGAUGGGGUUAGCGGUAACGCGAAGCUCUUGAUCGAAGCCCCGGUAAACGGCGGCCGUAACUAUAACGGUCCUAAGGUAGCGAAAUUCCUUGUCGGGUAAGUUCCGACCUGCACGAAUGGCGUAAUGAUGGCCAGGCUGUCUCCACCCGAGACUCAGUGAAAUUGAACUCGCUGUGAAGAUGCAGUGUACCCGCGGCAAGACGGAAAGACCCCGUGAACCUUUACUAUAGCUUGACACUGAACAUUGAGCCUUGAUGUGUAGGAUAGGUGGGAGGCUUUGAAGUGUGGACGCAAGUCUGCAUGGAGCCGACCUUGAAAUACCACCCUUUAAUGUUUGAUGUUCUAACGUUGGCCCCUAAUCGGGGUUGCGGACAGUGUCUGGUGGGUAGUUUGACUGGGGCGGUCUCCUCCUAAAGAGUAACGGAGGAGCACGAAGGUUGGCUAAUCCUGGUCGGACAUCAGGAGGUUAGUGCAAUGGCAUAAGCCAGCUUGACUGCGAGCGUGACGGCGCGAGCAGGUGCGAAAGCAGGUCAUAGUGAUCCGGUGGUUCUGAAUGGAAGGGCCAUCGCUCAACGGAUAAAAGGUACUCCGGGGAUAACAGGCUGAUACCGCCCAAGAGUUCAUAUCGACGGCGGUGUUUGGCACCUCGAUGUCGGCUCAUCACAUCCUGGGGCUGAAGUAGGUCCCAAGGGUAUGGCUGUUCGCCAUUUAAAGUGGUACGCGAGCUGGGUUUAGAACGUCGUGAGACAGUUCGGUCCCUAUCUGCCGUGGGCGCUGGAGAACUGAGGGGGGCUGCUCCUAGUACGAGAGGACCGGAGUGGACGCAUCACUGGUGUUCGGGUUGUCAUGCCAAUGGCACUGCCCGGUAGCUAAAUGCGGAAGAGAUAAGUGCUGAAAGCAUCUAAGCACGAAACUUGCCCCGAGAUGAGUUCUCCCUGAGACUUAGAGUCUCCUGAAGGAACGUUGAAGACGACGACGUUGAUAGGCCGGGUGUGUAAGCGCAGCGAUGCGUUGAGCUAACCGGUACUAAUGAACCGUGAGGCUUAACCUUACAACGCCGAAGAUGUUUUG
This 2924-nucleotide ribosomal RNA is filed under the name Escherichia coli. Its description in RNAcentral is "bacterial LSU rRNA". It matches the Rfam family "Bacterial large subunit ribosomal RNA". Lineage: Bacteria; Pseudomonadati; Pseudomonadota; Gammaproteobacteria; Enterobacterales; Enterobacteriaceae. The record is from RNAcentral.